This 264-nucleotide ribosomal RNA is filed under the name uncultured bacterium. RNAcentral describes it as "partial 16S ribosomal RNA". It matches the Rfam family "Bacterial small subunit ribosomal RNA", at positions 29 to 312 of the family's 1533-position model. The record is from RNAcentral.
AACGAACGCUGGCGGCAGGCCUAACACAUGCAAGUCGAACGCCGUAGCAAUACGGAGUGGCAGACGGGUGAGUAACGCGUGGGAACAUACCCUUCGGUUCGGAAUAACUCAGGGAAACUUGAGCUAAUACCGGAUACGUCCGAGGUCAAACUUGGAGAAAGAUUUAUCGCCGGAGGAUUGGCCCGCGUCUGAUUAGCUUGUUGGUGAGGUAAUGGCUCACCAAGGCGACGAUCAGUAGCUGGUCUGAGAGGAUGAUCAGCCACA